GUGAAUCAUCGAAUCUUUGAACGCAAAUUGCACUCUCUGGUAUUCCGGAGAGUAUUUGAGUUUGAGGGUAAGUUUAAAUAAAAAUCGGUGUGGUUGCUGCUUUCAGUGGUGACGAAUUGGAUUUUGGUAGUCUUGUGUUUGUUUAGGUGACUUAAAUUUUUGCUUGAUUUUUUUGGAACGUUCUUAAAUGAUUUUACGUACGUUUGGGAUAUAGUUUUAUUGGUGUGGUCAUUUUCAUGAUUUG
RNAcentral lists this unclassified non-coding RNA (244 nucleotides) under Glomeromycetes sp. RNAcentral's name for it is "partial internal transcribed spacer 2". The stretch from base 1 to 71 matches the Rfam family "5.8S ribosomal RNA", at positions 84 to 154 of the family's 154-position model. Lineage: Eukaryota; Fungi; Glomeromycota; Glomeromycetes. The record is from RNAcentral.